GCUCCAGUAGCUCAGUCGGAUAGAGCACCUGCCUUCUAAGCAGGUUGUCGGAGGUUCGAUUCCUCCCUGGGGCACAA
This 77-nucleotide transfer RNA is filed under the name bacterium. Its description in RNAcentral is "tRNA-Arg". It matches the Rfam family "tRNA". Rfam says of the family: Transfer RNA (tRNA) molecules are approximately 80 nucleotides in length. Their secondary structure includes four short double-helical elements and three loops (D, anti-codon, and T loops). The record is from RNAcentral.